This 60-nucleotide microRNA precursor is filed under the name Tribolium castaneum (red flour beetle). Its description in RNAcentral is "Tca-Mir-219_pre stem-loop". It matches the Rfam family "mir-219 microRNA precursor family", at positions 6 to 71 of the family's 79-position model. Rfam says of the family: The hairpin precursors (represented here) are predicted based on base pairing and cross-species conservation -- their extents are not known. In this case the mature sequence is excised from the 5' arm of the hairpin. The record is from RNAcentral. Lineage: Eukaryota; Metazoa; Arthropoda; Insecta; Coleoptera; Tenebrionidae.
UGAUUGUCCAAACGCAAUUCUUGUUUGCAAUUUUAUCAAGGACUGUGUGUGGACAUCAUC